This 406-nucleotide ribosomal RNA is filed under the name uncultured bacterium. RNAcentral's name for it is "partial 16S ribosomal RNA". It matches the Rfam family "Bacterial small subunit ribosomal RNA", at positions 30 to 526 of the family's 1533-position model. The record is from RNAcentral.
AUUGAACGCUGGCGGCAGGCCUAACACAUGCAAGUCGAACGAGUGGCAGACGGGUGAGUAAUGUCUGGGAAACUGCGCGAUGGGGGGGGAUAACUACUGGAAACGGUAGCUAAUACCGCAUACUAUCGGAUGUGCACAGAUGGGAUUAGCUAGUAGGUGGGGUAACGGCUCACAUAGGCGACGAUCCCUAGCUGGUCUGAGAGGAUGAACAGCCACACUGGAACGGAGACACGGUCCAGACUCCUACGGGAGGCAGCAGUGGGGAAUAUUGCACAAUGGGCGCAAGCCGGAUGCAGCCAUGCCGCGUGUAUGAAGAAGGCCUUCGGGUUGUAAAGUACUUUCAGUGAGGAGGCGUUACUCGCAGAAGAAGCACCGGCUAACUCCGUGCCAGCAGCCGCGGUAAUAC